Molecule: RNA transcript, 4474 nt
Organism: Corythoichthys intestinalis (scribbled pipefish)
Lineage: Eukaryota; Metazoa; Chordata; Actinopteri; Syngnathiformes; Syngnathidae
Gene: npr2
Gene name: natriuretic peptide receptor 2
Exons: 23
Source: RefSeq, a predicted model, not a curated record
GUCUAUUACAAUGACUGACUGAAUAAUUUGUCGUUUAUUUGAUUUAGCCCGCAUGCACUUCUUAAGGAGUGUAUGACGUGUAGGGGCCGAGCAUUAUGAGGGCUGCUCUCAUUUAAGUUGGAGUCAUCUGGAUGAAUGCUUUCACUCUCCCACACACCAUCAUUUGGAAGACGACGCAUUGCCGGAGAGAAGUCCAUCUUUGGGCGCGCAAUAACUCGUUUUGACGUGGAUUUUACGCGGUACGAACGCAUGGCGCAACUGUCCGACAACGCCAACAUGACGACACUGCUGAUUUUUUGUCACAUUUGAGACAAGGGAGAAAAACGGGAGAUAAAGAGAAGGAAAGGGAGACUUAUGUACGGCGUCAAGGAGGGAACAACCGGUCGUUUCUCCACUCCAACCGGUGCUCUACUCGGCUUUUUGGGACGAGCGUCAUGGGCUGCGGAGAGGCGCUGGGAUGUUGUUGGCUGUUGUUGGCCGUAUCCUGCUGCCUUUUUCCCGCGUGCCGAAGCAACAUAACAGUGGCGGUGAUGCUGCCGGACAACCACCACAAGUAUCCGUGGGCUCUGCCGCGCGUCUUCCCGGCCAUCCUCAUGGCGCACGAAGAUCUCCACGGCAAACACGGGCUGCUCCUCGGCCGCUCCAUCAACAUCCUCAACUACAGCACCGAGGACCCGGCGGCGGGUUCGUGCGCCGAGAGCCGAGCCCAGGUGGUGGCGGUGGACGCCAAACUCUACUUCCGCCCGGACGCUUUCUUCGGGCCGGGCUGCGUGUACCCGCUGGCCUCCGUGGGCCGUUUCGCUUCCCACUGGAAACUUCCGCUCAUCACCGCCGGUGGACCCGCGUACGGUUUCGAUAAGCGGGAAGAGUAUCGAACCAUCGUGCGCAGCGGGCCUUCCACCACCAAGCUGGGGGACUUCACCAACAUGCUGCACACUCACUUCAACUGGACGUCCCGCGCUGUGGUGAUCUUCCAUGACUUGAGGCACGACGAUCGGCCGCACUACUUCCUCUCUGAAGGCAUCUACCUGAAGUUGAAGGAGGAGAUGAACGUCACGGUGGAGGCCCAGCCCUACGAAGACGACUUUAAGUUCUACAAGGAGCUCAUUGCCUUCAUGAAGGAGCGAGGCAGAAUUGUGUACAUUUGCGGCCCCUUGGACACGUUCCUGAACAUCAUGAAACUCUUCCACAGCGAGAUCCCAGACCCAGAAAACUACGCCAUUUUUUAUCUGGACGUCUUUGCAGAGAGCCUGACAGAGCGGAAGCCUUGGCAGAACUCUGACCUUAACUGGGACAAUCCCAUCAAAGUCUUUAAGUCUGUUUUCAUCAUAACAUACCGACCUCCCGAUAAUCCUGAGUACAAAGAGUUUCAAAGACGACUUCAUGCAAGAGCACAACAGGAUUUUGGUGUGCAAUUGGAACCAUCACUGAUGGACUAUAUCGCAGGCAGCUUUUAUGAUGGGUUUGUGCUAUACGCAAAGGCUUUGGAAGAAACACUGGCAGAGGGUGGAGCUCAAAACGAUGGUAUCAACAUCACAAUGAGAACACAGAACCGUCAAAUAUGGGGGGUGACAGGUCUUGUGACUACCGACCACAAAAAUGCCAGGGAUAUAGACAUCAACCUUUGGGCCAUGACCAACCAGGACACAGGGGAGUAUGGGCUGGUCGCAUACUACAAUGGGACUAUGAAAGAGAUCAUUUGGUCCCAGACGGAGAAGAUCCAUUGGCCCAGUGGGGGCCCACCGCUGGAUAAUCCGCCCUGUGUGUUUUCCACAGAUGAUCCCUCUUGCAAUGAUGGUCAGCUGCCAGUUCUGGGAAUUGUGGCGGUGGGAUCUGGCUUGGCGCUAAUCAUUUUUGGAAUCUCCAGUUUCCUCAUUUACAGGAAACUAAAGUUGGAGAAAGAAUUAGCUGGAAUGCUGUGGAGGAUUCGGUGGGAGGACCUACAGUUUGAGAGCCCCAAUAAAUAUCACAAACGAGCCGGCAGUCGCCUAACACUCUCACAGAGAGGCUCUAGCUAUGGCUCCCUGAUAACUGCUCACGGAAAAUAUCAGCUAUUUGCAAAAACGGGCUAUUUUAAGGGCAACCUGGUGGCUAUCAAACAUGUCAACAAGAAGAGAAUCGAGCUCACCAGACAAGUAUUAUUGGAACUCAAACAUAUGAGGGAUGUCCAGUUUAACCAUCUCACACGCUUCAUUGGAGCCUGCAUCGACCCUCCAAACACGUGUAUUAUAACGGAAUACUGCCCCAGAGGAAGUCUGCAGGACAUUCUGGAGAAUGAAAGCAUCAACCUAGACUGGAUGUUCCGCUACUCAUUGAUCAAUGACAUAGUGAAGGGCAUGAACUAUCUCCACAACAGCUAUUUUGGCUGUCAUGGAAAUCUGAAGUCAUCUAAUUGUGUGGUGGACAGCCGAUUUGUGUUGAAAAUCACAGACUAUGGAUUGGCCAGCUUUCGCUCAUCCUGUGAAAACGAUGACUCUCACGCUCUCUACGCAAAGAAAAUGUGGACAGCUCCUGAGCUGCUUAUAUACGACCAACAUCCGCCUCAGGGGACACAGAAGGGUGACGUGUACAGUUUUGGCAUCAUCCUGCAGGAAAUAGCCUUAAGAAAUGGACCUUUCUAUGUGGAAGGCAUGGACCUCAGCCCCAAAGAGAUUGUGCAGAAGGUCAGAAACGGCCAGAAGCCAUACUUUCGGCCAACAACAGACAUUAGAUGUCACUCAGAGGAGCUGACCAUCUUAAUGGAGGGCUGCUGGGCCGAGGACCCUGCAGAGAGGCCAGAUUUUGGCCAUAUCAAGAUCUACAUGGCCAAACUCAAUAAGGAAGGCAGCACCAGUAUUCUCAACAACCUGCUGUCACGGAUGGAGCAGUACGCUAACAAUCUGGAGAAUCUGGUAGAGGAGCGAACGCAAGCCUACCUGGAGGAGAAAAGGAAAGCGGAAAAUCUUCUCUAUCAAAUUUUACCACAUUCAGUAGCAGAACAACUAAAGCGAGGGGAGACGGUACAGGCGGAAGCUUUUGACAGCGUCACCAUUUACUUUAGCGACAUUGUGGGCUUCACAUCCAUGUCUGCAGAAAGUACGCCACUUCAGGUGGUCACAUUGCUGAAUGACCUGUAUACCUGUUUUGACGCCAUUAUAGACAACUUUGAUGUGUACAAGGUGGAGACCAUUGGUGACGCGUAUAUGGUGGUGUCAGGGCUGCCGGUGCGAAACGGGAAACUUCAUGCAAGAGAGAUCGCCGGAAUGUCACUGGCAUUGUUAGAGCAAGUAAAAACGUUCAAGAUUCGACAUCGACCCAAUGACCAACUGAGACUUAGGAUAGGUAUCCAUACAGGUCCAGUCUGUGCUGGUGUGGUUGGUUUGAAAAUGCCCAGAUACUGUUUGUUUGGAGAUACUGUCAACACAGCAUCCCGAAUGGAGUCAAAUGGAGAGGCUCUGAAGAUCCAUUUAUCCUCAGCUACCAAAGAAGUUCUGGAUGAGUUUGGCUACUUUGAUCUCCAGCUACGAGGAGAUGUUGAAAUGAAAGAAGACGUAAAUAUUUCGCGCCCCAACCUCCUCCCCCAACUCUCUCUUCCGCUUGAUCCGGGAUCGGGUCGCGGGGGCAGCAGCUUUAACAGGGAAGCCCAGACUUCCAUCUCCCCAGCCACUUCAACCAGCUCCUCUGGUGGGAUCCCAAGGUGUUCCCAGGCCAGCCGAGAGACAUGCGUGUCCUGCGUAAUCUCCGGGGCCUCCCGCCGGUGGGACAUGCCCGGAGCACCUUUCCAGGGAGGCGUCCAGGAGUCAUCCGAACCAGAUGCCUCAGCCACCUCAGCUGGCUCCUCUCGACACAGAGGAGUAGCGGCUCGACGCCGAGUCCCUCCAGGAUGACUGAGCUUCUGACCCUAUCUCUAAGGAAGAGCCCGGACAGGCGGACACCCUGUGGAAGAAACCCAUUUUGACCACUUGUAUCCAGGAUCAUGUUCUUUCAGUUACGACCCACAGCUCGUGACCAUAAGUGAGGGUUACAAAUAGAGGGCAAAGGUAAAAUGAGAACCUAUUGGCUACUCGGGGAGAAGUCUGAUGUGUAUGUCAUCUGAGAGGUGGAGACGACAUCAGAAGAUCCGGUGGCCGAGCCACUUCUUUAUUUGUUCUAGAAUAAGUCUUUUGUGUGAGAUUUCCAUGCAGAGGAACAUAAAUCAUAAACCAAAAACAGAGGAAAUUCCAGGUAUUUUUACGACCUGAAUGCUGCAAAUACAAAACAAAGUGUUUUUUGUAUGAAGAAAUUUUCUGUCCGCAGAGUACUUUUCACGGAAAAUAACCUUUUUUUUGUGCUUUCUAUAUUACGAUUUGUAUAACGUGUUUUGAAGUCAAUGAUGUAUUAAUAUUUCCUUGGAAAAUCCUUUGGAGUGUUUGUGAACACUGCUGGCAGGCUUCGAUUGUGUUCUACAGUAAAAUGCAAGAUGUGUACAUAUGUAUAUCCAAGAUACUGUAAGAUA